GACAUUUUAGCAUCUUCGUGCGAGACUAAUGGAUCUACUCACAGCCAACGUGUUUCUGCUCAAAGCCAUCGUUUUAUACUGAGAUCAGAGGCAAUAAACAUCUGCAAAAAAAAAUUCCUGUGUCCUUCGAAGCCUGGCUAGGCUCUCACGUGUUUUGCAGACUACUCGACGGUGUCUACAAGACUGCAAUCGUCUCAUUUAAAAUAUGUAAUGAGUUCAAACGCAUCACUAGUGUGGACCUCCUCGAGACAUUCAGAGCAUCAAUACACCAGCACACUCCGCAACUCCUCAAGCUAUACAGAGCAAGAAAGGGGGCAUUUGGAACAGAAAUGGAAGAUCUUCU
Long non-coding RNA from Triplophysa dalaica, 343 nucleotides. RefSeq lists it as uncharacterized. The record is from RefSeq and is a predicted model, not a curated record. The transcript has 3 exons. NCBI's taxonomy places the organism in Eukaryota, Metazoa, Chordata, Actinopteri, Cypriniformes, Nemacheilidae.